This 497-nucleotide ribosomal RNA is filed under the name uncultured bacterium. RNAcentral's name for it is "partial 16S ribosomal RNA". It matches the Rfam family "Bacterial small subunit ribosomal RNA", at positions 28 to 507 of the family's 1533-position model. The record is from RNAcentral.
GAUGAACGCUGGCGGCGUGCCUAAUACAUGCAAGUCGAGCGAACAGACGAGGAGCUUGCUCCUCUGACGUUAGCGGCGGACGGGUGAGUAACACGUGGAUAACCUACCUAUAAGACUGGGAUAACUUCGGGAAACCGGAGCUAAUACCGGAUAAUAUAUUGAGCCGCAUGGUUCAAUAGUGAAAGACGGUUUUGCUGUCACUUAUAGAUGGAUCCGCGCCGCAUUAGCUAGUUGGUAAGGUAACGGCUUACCAAGGCAACGAUGCGUAGCCGACCUGAGAGGGUGAUCGGCCACACUGGAACUGAGACACGGUCCAGACUCCUACGGGAGGCAGCAGUAGGGAAUCUUCCGCAAUGGGCGAAAGCUUGACGGAGCAACGCCGCGUAAGUGAUGAAGGUCUUCGGAUCGUAAAACUCUGUUAUUAGGGAAGAACAAAUGUGUAAGUAACUAUGCACGUCUUGACGGUACCUAAUCAGAAAGCCACGGCUAACUACGUG